This 492-nucleotide ribosomal RNA is filed under the name uncultured bacterium. Its description in RNAcentral is "partial 16S ribosomal RNA". It matches the Rfam family "Bacterial small subunit ribosomal RNA", at positions 29 to 507 of the family's 1533-position model. The record is from RNAcentral.
AGUGAACGCUGGCGGUAGGCCUAACACAUGCAAGUCGAACGGCAGCACAGUAAGAGCUUGCUCUUACGGGUGGCGAGUGGCGGACGGGUGAGGAAUACAUCGGAAUCUACUUUUUCGUGGGGGAUAACGUAGGGAAACUUACGCUAAUACCGCAUACGACCUACGGGUGAAAGCAGGGGAUCUUCGGGCCUUGCGCGAUUGAAUGAGCCGAUGUCGGAUUAGCUAGUUGGCGGGGUAAAGGCCCACCAAGGCGACGAUCCGUAGCUGGUCUGAGAGGAUGAUCAGCCACACUGGAACUGAGACACGGUCCAGACUCCUACGGGAGGCAGCAGUGGGGAAUAUUGGACAAUGGGCGCAAGCCUGAUCCAGCCAUACCGCGUGGGUGAAGAAGGCCUUCGGGUUGUAAAGCCCUUUUGUUGGGAAAGAAAAGCAGCAGGUUAAUACCCCGCUGUUCUGACGGUACCCAAAGAAUAAGCACCGGCUAACCUCGUG